This 499-nucleotide ribosomal RNA is filed under the name uncultured Desulfobulbus sp. RNAcentral's name for it is "bacterial SSU rRNA". It matches the Rfam family "Bacterial small subunit ribosomal RNA", at positions 886 to 1382 of the family's 1533-position model. The record is from RNAcentral. Lineage: Bacteria; Pseudomonadati; Thermodesulfobacteriota; Desulfobulbia; Desulfobulbales; Desulfobulbaceae.
AGCCCGCUCAGAAACUCAAAUGCAUUGACGGGGCCCGCACAAGCGUGGAGUAUGUGGUUAAUUCGAUGCAACGCGAAGAACCUUACCUGGUCUUGACAUCCCGGAGACCCUUAGGAAACUAGGGGGUGCUUCCAUCUGGAAGAAUCUGGAGACAGGUGCUGCAUGGCUGUCGUCAGCUCGUGUCGUGAGAUGUUGGGUUAAGUCCCGCAACGAGCGCAACCCUUGCCUUUAGUUGCCAGCAGUUCGGCUGGGCACUCUAAAGGGACUGCCGGUGUUAAACCGGAGGAAGGUGGGGAUGACGUCAAGUCCUCAUGGCCUUUAUGACCAGGGCUACACACGUACUACAAUGGCCGAUACAAAGGGCAGCGACACUGCGAGGUGAAGCCAAUCCCGUAAAAUCGGUCUCAGUCCGGAUUGGAGUCUGCAACUCGACUCCAUGAAGUUGGAAUCGCUAGUAAUCGUGGAUCAGCAUGCCACGGUGAAUACGUUCCCGGGCCUU